GGGGAUUUGGCACAGUGGUAGCGCGCCUGCUUUGCACUGGCUUCUAGCCUUGGUGAUUGCAUGAGGUCGUGGGUUCAAGCCCCACAAUCUCCA
Molecule: non-coding RNA, 93 nt
Organism: Tephrocybe sp. NHM501043
Lineage: Eukaryota; Fungi; Basidiomycota; Agaricomycetes; Agaricales; Lyophyllaceae
Source: the annotation of a GenBank genome assembly